Arachis duranensis is the source of this 852-nucleotide long non-coding RNA. RefSeq lists it as uncharacterized. The record is from RefSeq and is a predicted model, not a curated record. The transcript is spliced from 3 exons. NCBI's taxonomy places the organism in Eukaryota, Viridiplantae, Streptophyta, Magnoliopsida, Fabales, Fabaceae.
UUUUAGCUGAAUAUGUAAUCAAUAAACUCAUUUUCUUUGUGUUCUUUUUUUUUUUCUCCUUUGUUUUGCUUCUCUUUCCUUUUUUUUAAUCAUCAUCUUCAUUUUUUUCUUACUAUUUUUUCGUCCAUUCUUUAUUUAGAAAACAAAAGCUGUCUCUUAUAAUAGGCUCAUCAAGACCUCGCUGAAUAUGUAAUCAAUAAACUCGUUUUCUUCUCUUUUUUUUUUUUUGCCACUUUUGUUUUGCUUCUGCCUUCUCUUUUUUCAUUUUUUCAUUUUUUUUUGUUUUUAUCAUUGUCAUCAUUCUUUUUUCUUACUGUUUUCUAUUCAUUCUUUAUUUAGCUGGAUAACAUAAGUAUGUUUUUUUUUAUCAUAAAAAGAAGAAAAAAAAAAUAGAGAAUGCAGAUGAAGAUAGAGACAAUUGACAAAAGUCAAUAGCUGGAACCAUUAAGAGAGCAAUGGCAGAAAAGCGAGGAAUGGAACUAGGAUAUGCUAGAUGGCUUUGACUUCUCAUUCUACACAAGUAACUAGCUCAGAGAUAUCAAUCCUAGUACGAUAUGCCAAAUUUCUUGGCAAGCAACUUGAAGACAGCGAGUUCUUUUGUCAAAUUCUUAGAUGCUUAUGUUCCACAUUUCACAUGUAGGAUCCAGUCAUAUUAGACUAUUUUAUGUCUUGUCAAAAUAAUGUGUAACUUAUUUUUCUUAAAUUGCUUUUCAUAGUUCUAAGGUUUUAAAAACAGUUGUAAAUUCAAUGUUUAAUUUGGAUAAGACUUGUUAGGCUUGCUUAGGGAUAAUUUCCUUGAGGACCAGUCAUGACUCAUUUUGGGUCGUGUCAAGAAGAAUAUUUUACUCCUGC